This 98-nucleotide small nuclear RNA is filed under the name Ochotona princeps (American pika). Lineage: Eukaryota; Metazoa; Chordata; Mammalia; Lagomorpha; Ochotonidae. The record is from RNAcentral.
GUGCUCAUCUUGGCAGCACAUAAACUAAAAUUGGAAUGAUACAGAGAGAGCCCCUGUACAAGGAUGACAAACAAAAUUAUAAAUUUGCUUUGGUAAUU